This 75-nucleotide transfer RNA is filed under the name Candidatus Marsarchaeota G1 archaeon OSP_B. Its description in RNAcentral is "tRNA-Asn". It matches the Rfam family "tRNA". Rfam says of the family: Transfer RNA (tRNA) molecules are approximately 80 nucleotides in length. Their secondary structure includes four short double-helical elements and three loops (D, anti-codon, and T loops). Further hydrogen bonds mediate the characteristic L-shaped molecular structure. tRNAs have two regions of fundamental functional importance: the anti-codon, which is responsible for specific mRNA codon recognition, and the 3' end, to which the tRNAs corresponding amino acid is attached (by aminoacyl-tRNA synthetases). tRNAs cope with the degeneracy of the genetic code in two manners: having more than one tRNA (with a specific anti-codon) for a particular amino acid; and 'wobble' base-pairing, i.e. permitting non-standard base-pairing at the 3rd anti-codon position. Lineage: Archaea; Thermoproteati; Thermoproteota. The record is from RNAcentral. RNAcentral also lists the same sequence under 4 other names.
GCCGGCGUAGCUCAGUUUAGGUAGAGCGCUCGGCUGUUAACCGAGUGGUCCGAGGUUCGAAUCCUCGCGCCGGCG